AUGCUAUUAUUCUAUCGUAUGUGAGAAGUCGGCCCAGAGAUGGAAAACUUUAUUCUGUAUGAGGAGAUCGGAAGAGGAAGCAAGAGUGUUGUGUAUAAAGGGCGACGGAAGGGAACAAUCAAUUUUGUAGCCAUUCUUUGUACUGAUAAGUGCAAAAGGCCUGAAAUAACCAACUGGGUCCGUCUCACCCAUGAAAUAAAACACAAGAAUAUUGUAACUUUUCAUGAAUGGUAUGAAACAAGCAAUCACCUCUGGCUAGUGGUGGAACUCUGCACAGGUGGUUCCUUAAAAACAGUUAUUGCUCAAGAUGAAAACCUCCCAGAAGAUGUUGUGAGAGAAUUUGGGAUUGACCUGAUUAGUGGAUUACAUCAUCUUCAUAAACUUGGCAUUCUCUUUUGUGACAUUUCUCCUAGGAAGAUACUCUUGGAAGGGCCUGGCACACUGAAGUUUAGCAACUUUUGCUUGGCAAAAGUGGAAGGUGAAAAUUUGGAAGAGUUCUUUGCUUUGGUGGCAGCAGAGGAAGGAGGAGGUGAUAGCGGGGAAAAUGUCCUGAAGAAAAGCAUGAAAAGUAGAGUCAAAGGUAUGUGGACCUGGAAAGCUUAAAGAUCAUAACUCUAGUUGUGGACCAUCCAAGUCCUGUGUUUAGGAGACAAUGUCAGUCUUUUGUUUUGCC
Molecule: small RNA, 673 nt
Filed under: Pongo abelii (Sumatran orangutan)
Lineage: Eukaryota; Metazoa; Chordata; Mammalia; Primates; Hominidae
Description: retained intron
Source: RNAcentral